RNAcentral lists this non-coding RNA (142 nucleotides) under Denitrovibrio acetiphilus. Its description in RNAcentral is "FMN sequence". It matches the Rfam family "FMN riboswitch aptamer (RFN element)". Rfam says of the family: The RFN element is a highly conserved domain that is found frequently in the 5'-untranslated regions of prokaryotic mRNAs that encode for flavin mononucleotide (FMN) biosynthesis and transport proteins. This element is a metabolite-dependent riboswitch that directly binds FMN in the absence of proteins. Lineage: Bacteria; Pseudomonadati; Deferribacterota; Deferribacteres; Deferribacterales; Geovibrionaceae. The record is from RNAcentral. RNAcentral also lists the same sequence under 1 other name.
UGUAAUUCUCAGGGCGGGGUGCAACUCCCCACCGGCGGUAUUCUGUUAAGACAGAGAGCCCGCGAGCGCCUGCAAGCCAGGGUCAGCAGAUCCGGUUAGAUCCCGGAGCCGACGGUCACAGUCCGGACGAAAGAGGAUUAAC